CGGUGGAGUGAUUUGUCUGCUUAAUUGCGAUAACGAACGAGAUCUCUGCCAAUAAAUAGAUGCUGCUUCCACUUCGUAGGCCGGUGAGUGCAAUAGCUUGCUUGACCACUAAUCAACGUGCUGAGGAGACAGAUUUUUACUUAUUGGGAUUAUGCAUCUCUUAAAUGCAUUGAGACGAGAGCCAAUAGCA
This 190-nucleotide ribosomal RNA is filed under the name uncultured eukaryote. RNAcentral's name for it is "partial 18S ribosomal RNA". It matches the Rfam family "Eukaryotic small subunit ribosomal RNA", at positions 1299 to 1458 of the family's 1831-position model. The record is from RNAcentral.